GGCAACAGCUCAAAUUUGAAACCUGCCUCCCGGCCGGAUUGUAAUUUGUAGAGGAUGCUUUGGGAAUGGCUCUGAUCUAAGUUUCUUGGAACAGAACGUCACAGAGGGUGAGAAUCCCGUCCGUGGUCGGUAGCCUGCCCCGUGUAAAGCUCCUUCGACGAGUCGAGUUGUUUGGGAAUGCAGCUCUAAAUGGGUGGUAAAUUUCAUCUAAAGCUAAAUACUGGCCAGAGACCGAUAGCGCACAAGUAGAGUGAUCGAAAGAUGAAAAGCACUUUGGAAAGAGAGUUAAACAGCACGUGAAAUUGUUGAAAGGGAAGCGCUUGCAAUCAGACUUGCGCGUAGGUAAUCAGGAGCGGUUCGCUGCUCUGCACUUGCCUGCGCUCAGGCCAGCAUCAGUUCUAGGGGUGGGAUAAAGGCCGUUGGAAUGUGGCUCUUCGGAGUGUUAUAGCCUUCGGUGCCAUACCGCCUCCCGGGACUGAGGACCGCGCUUCGGCUAGGAUGCUGGCGUAAUGAUUGUAAGCGACCCGUCUUGAAACACGGACCAAGGAGUCUAACAUCUAUGCGAGUGUUUGGGUGUCAAACCCACACGCGGAAUGAAAGUGAACGGAGGUGAGAGCCCUUAAGGGUGCAUCAUCGACCGAUCCUGAUGUCUUCGGAUGGAUUUGAGUAUGAGCAUAGCUGUUGGGACCCGAAAGAUGGUGAACUAUGCCUGAAUAGGGUGAAGCCAGAGGAAACUCUGGUGGAGGCUCGCAGCGGUUCUGACGUGCAAAUCGAUCGUCAAAUUUGGGUAUAGGGGCGAAAGACUAAUCGAACCAUCUAGUAGCUGGGUUCCUGCCGAAG
This 840-nucleotide ribosomal RNA is filed under the name Chaetomella pseudocircinoseta. Its description in RNAcentral is "partial 28S ribosomal RNA". It matches the Rfam family "Eukaryotic large subunit ribosomal RNA", at positions 100 to 966 of the family's 3401-position model. Lineage: Eukaryota; Fungi; Ascomycota; Leotiomycetes; Chaetomellales; Chaetomellaceae. The record is from RNAcentral.